CAUUUUGGGGGCUUUCUGGGCCAUUUUGAGGCUCUUUGGGGGCAUUUUGGUGCCCUCCAAAUGUAUUUCGGGGCUUUCUGAGUCCAUUGUGGGGCAUUUGGGGGCACUCUAGGUGCAUUUUGGGGCUCUUCAGGUGCAUUUUGGGGCUUUCUGGGGCCAUUUUGGGGCCCUCUAGUUGCAUUUUGGGGAUUUCUGGGCAAUUUUGGGGCUCUUUAGGUGCAUUUCAGGGCCCUCCAGGUGCAUUUUGGGGCUUUCUGGGGCCAUUUUGGGGCCAUUUUGGUGCCCUCUAGAUGCAUUUUGGGGCUUUCUGAGGCCAUUUUGGGGCUCUUUGGGGGCAUUUCAAGGCCCUCCAGGUGCAUUUUAGGGCUUUCUGAGGCCAUUUUGAGUCUCUUUGGGCUCAUUUCCGUGCUUUCUGGGGCCAUUUUGAUGCUUUCUGGGUGCAUUCCGGGGCACCCUUGUCCUCUAGAAUCCCUUUAGCAGCAGCCACUCUCGCACCUCGGCGUCCACGUGGCCCUUGAUGCGCAGCGUCCCCGUCACCUCGUUCACCUGCGUCUGCGGCUCCUUCCCCACGCGCUGCCCCAAGAACG
Molecule: long non-coding RNA, 587 nt
Filed under: Numida meleagris (helmeted guineafowl)
Lineage: Eukaryota; Metazoa; Chordata; Aves; Galliformes; Numididae
Description: lncRNA (ENSNMEG00000000690.1)
Source: RNAcentral